AAGGGCCUUUGAAUCCUGGGCUUCAGAAAUUCCACCGCUGGGCGGGCAUGCCUUAACCACCAGGCAAGUUCCGAACGAGAAAAGUCCUUUCGGGGCGAGUAAAGCCGGCGUACGGGUGAGUAACACGUGGGUUAUCUACCUCUGGGUGGGGAAUAACUCGGGGAAACUCGAGCUAAUACCGCAUAAUACGGCAACGUCAAAGCAGUAAUGCGCCUGGAGAUGAGCCUGCGUCCGAUUAGCUAGUUGGCGGGGUAAUGGCCCACCAAGGCGACGAUCGGUAGCCGGCCUGAGAGGGCGGUCGGCCACACUGGCACUGAAAUACGGGCCAGACUCCUACGGGAGGCAGCAGUGAGGAAUUUUGGGCAAUGGGCGAAAGCCUGACCCAGCAAUGCCGCGUGAACGAUGAAGUCCUUCGGGCAUGUUAAAGUUCGUCAAGUCAGGUAGAAGAAUCCAUGACGGUUAUCCGUUGUUAGUCCCCGGUCUA
Molecule: ribosomal RNA, 484 nt
Filed under: uncultured Acidobacterium sp.
Lineage: Bacteria; Pseudomonadati; Acidobacteriota; Terriglobia; Terriglobales; Acidobacteriaceae
Description: bacterial SSU rRNA
Rfam family: Bacterial small subunit ribosomal RNA
Source: RNAcentral